Danio rerio (zebrafish) is the source of this 696-nucleotide non-coding RNA. The record is from RefSeq and is a predicted model, not a curated record. Lineage: Eukaryota; Metazoa; Chordata; Actinopteri; Cypriniformes; Danionidae.
UGUUUUCAAACAAUAUUCUUCUAAACUUGUAUUAUUUAUUUUAUUUCAUGAAACAGAAAAAGAGAACAAUGGUGGAAGAAAUUUGAUUAAAAUCAUCAAGCUGAUAGAAAUCUUUCUUUAAAUGAAUCAUCUUAACGAUUGUCUUUUAUUUGAUCCAUUUAAAUCUCACUGUCAGAUGUGUGUUUUAUGCAGCAUAUCUCUUUUUCAGUAAUUAUGGAGAUGCUGUGUGAAAGUGGGCCAGCUCCUCAUAGACUCAGCAGGAGCUCUCCUUAAAAGGCCAGGAUGGAUGAUGUCGACUGUCUUUUUUCCCUGUCUCGUUCUCGCUCUCUCUCUCUGAGGAGGAGGAGAGGCCCAGUAAGCUUUGAGAAUCUCAUCAUCUCAUCAGAGAAGCUUAUGAUAUGAUGACUUCCAGGAGAAGAGGUACAUCAAGGUGCCCACUGGGUCUUCUACUUGAUGUUUUUGAAAACCAGAAUAUUCCCUUUAAUCUUAGCUGACGGAUUGUAAUCCUAAGGAUGGUGAAGAUUGGCAGAGCAGCACCUACAGAUGGACAUCACAGUUGAGUUCUCCACCUGCUCCACUACACAGGCCAACUUCUCUCAUUGUGUGGGUUUAAAUCAGCCCAAUCGCUCUUUUAUUUGACUGCUAACUGGAAACAAUGAGAAAUUUUGUUGUAUAAAGUUAACUCUUAAAUUUAAA